Molecule: ribosomal RNA, 246 nt
Filed under: Triticum aestivum (bread wheat)
Lineage: Eukaryota; Viridiplantae; Streptophyta; Magnoliopsida; Poales; Poaceae
Description: partial small subunit ribosomal RNA
Source: RNAcentral
AUGGACGUUACUUUUGAGGCUCGGAACGGCUCCUUCACCCUAGAGGUGUGGUACUUUGCGACGGUGAAGCAGAUCAAGGAGAUGAUCUACAAGCGCUACCGUCACUUCCCGGUGAGGGCACAGCGGCUUGUCUUCCAGGGCAAGGAGCUUGAAGACGACCGCAAUACCGAGCACUACGGCAUCAUCCAGGGGUCACGCAUCGUCUGUCUCGACCUGCCUGAAAGCUUGACCAUGUAUCCUUUGUGA